UUGAACGCUGGCGGCAUGCCUUACACAUGCAAGUCGAACGGUAACGGGUUAAGCCGACGAGUGGCGAACGGGUGAGUAAUAUAUCGGAACGUGCCCAAUCGUGGGGGAUAACGCAGCGAAAGUUGUUCUAAUACCGCAUAAGAUCUACGGAUGAAAGCGGGGGAUCGCAAGACCUCGCGCGAGUGGAGCGGCCGAUAUCAGAUUAGCUAGUUGGUGGGGUAAAGGCCCACCAAGGCGACGAUCUGUAGCUGGUCUGAGAGGACGACCAGCCACACUGGGACUGAGACACGGCCCAGACUCCUACGGGAGGCAGCAGUGGGGAAUUUUGGACAAUGGGCGCAAGCCUGAUCCAGCAAUGCCGCGUGCAGGAUGAAGGCCUUCGGGUUGUAAACUGCUUUUGUACGGAGCGAAAAGGCUCUCUCUAAUACAGGGGGCUCAUGACGGUACCGUAAGAAUAAGCACCGGCUAACUACGU
This 475-nucleotide ribosomal RNA is filed under the name uncultured bacterium. Its description in RNAcentral is "bacterial SSU rRNA". It matches the Rfam family "Bacterial small subunit ribosomal RNA", at positions 30 to 506 of the family's 1533-position model. The record is from RNAcentral.